ACCCUGUUAGUCGACGAUGGCA
RNAcentral lists this non-coding RNA (22 nucleotides) under Arabidopsis thaliana (thale cress). The record is from RNAcentral. Lineage: Eukaryota; Viridiplantae; Streptophyta; Magnoliopsida; Brassicales; Brassicaceae.